This 348-nucleotide ribosomal RNA is filed under the name Triticum aestivum (bread wheat). RNAcentral describes it as "partial small subunit ribosomal RNA". Lineage: Eukaryota; Viridiplantae; Streptophyta; Magnoliopsida; Poales; Poaceae. The record is from RNAcentral.
AAAUGGGAAAAAUUGACGAAGGCAAAAAAUAUUGGAGGAAUGGGUUUUAGGGAUCUUCAUGCUUUCAAUCUAGCCAUGCUUGCAAGACAGGCAUGGAGGCUUAUCCAUAACCCAUCUUCUUUGUGUGCGAAGGUUUUGUCAUCACGGUAUUACCCAAAUGGCUCAAUACUUCAGGCCAGUCCCAAAGUUGGCAUCUCUUACACAUGGCGUAGUAUACUAAAAGGGGUUAACCUGCUCAAGAAGGGGAUUAUAUGGAGGGUUGGUAGUGGUAAUACCAUUGACAUUUGGUAUGACCCUUGGAUACCGAGAGGAACUACUAGAAGAGUCAUCACACAGAGGGGUAAAAAC